Molecule: long non-coding RNA, 507 nt
Organism: Gossypium arboreum
Lineage: Eukaryota; Viridiplantae; Streptophyta; Magnoliopsida; Malvales; Malvaceae
Exons: 2
Source: RefSeq, a predicted model, not a curated record
GUUAUAAAUAGGCCCAUUUUCAGAAAAAAAAAUCAUUUGAAGGGAGAAAAGAAAAAAAAGAGAAGAAAGGAGAGGAAGAGAGAGGAGGGAGGAGGAAGAGAGGAAAGGAGAGUGGGGGACUGCCGGCCAGGGGGCCGGUCACAGGCCGAUAGUCGGCCCGGCGCCGGCCACCGUGCACGGUGGCCGGAGAGGUGGAGCAGGUGGGUGUGGUGGUGGCAGAGGUAUGGUGGCUGACAUGGAGAGGCAGACGGUAUGGGGCUAGGUGCAAGUGGGGAGAGGUUAGGGUUUGUGAUAGCUUUUUGGAUUUGGUUUAAGGUUUGGGUGUAAUUGGGCUGUUGGGAAUUUGGGUUUUUUAGUGGGUUUAAUGGAUUGGUUUAAUUGUAAUGGGUUUUGGGUAAGGGUUAUUAUUUGAGUUUGGUGUAAUGUAAGUGGGUUAAAUUGGCCUAUAACAAAUAAGAAAUAAAAUAUACUCAUCAAUAAAAAUAUGAUUUUCAAUCUUAUUAAGAA